This 696-nucleotide ribosomal RNA is filed under the name uncultured bacterium. RNAcentral's name for it is "bacterial SSU rRNA". It matches the Rfam family "Bacterial small subunit ribosomal RNA", at positions 111 to 823 of the family's 1533-position model. The record is from RNAcentral.
UAACGCGUGAGGAACCUGCCUUUCAGAGGGGGACAACAGUUGGAAACGACUGCUAAUACCGCAUGACGCAUUUUGAUCGCAUGGUCGAAAUGCCAAAGAUUUAUCGCUGAAAGAUGGCCUCGCGUCUGAUUAGAUAGUUGGCGGGGUAACGGCCCACCAAGUCGACGAUCAGUAGCCGGACUGAGAGGUUGACCGGCCACAUUGGGACUGAGAUACGGCCCAGACUCCUACGGGAGGCAGCAGUGGGGAAUAUUGGGCAAUGGGCGCAAGCCUGACCCAGCAACGCCGCGUGAAGGAAGAAGGCUUUCGGGUUGUAAACUUCUUUUAAGUGGGAAGAGCAGAAGACGGUACCACUUGAAUAAGCCACGGCUAACUACGUGCCAGCAGCCGCGGUAAUACGUAGGUGGCAAGCGUUGUCCGGAUUUACUGGGUGUAAAGGGCGUGCAGCCGGGCAUGCAAGUCAGAUGUGAAAUCUCAGGGCUUAACCCUGAAACUGCAUUUGAAACUGUAUGUCUUGAGUGCCGGAGAGGUAAUCGGAAUUCCUUGUGUAGCGGUGAAAUGCGUAGAUAUAAGGAAGAACACCAGUGGCGAAGGCGGAUUACUGGACGGUAACUGACGGUGAGGCGCGAAAGCGUGGGGAGCGAACAGGAUUAGAUACCCUGGUAGUCCACGCUGUAAACGAUGGAUACUAGGUGU